GAAAGAGGGCAUGAAGGAGACUUCUUCAUUUGUGACAGUGAAUCUUCGCCAAAUGAUUUCUCAGAAUCACUAAAAGUACAAGGGGAAAAACAGGCAUUUUAAAGUCCAGCUGAAAGAGACUGUUCACUGCAUUGGGCAGUGGAAAUUCAGCCCCAUGGAGGAACUUGUAGAACAUUACAAAAGGCACCGAUCUUUACAGUGAGCAAGGAGAAAAAUUACAUCUUGUCCAACCUUUGUCUUGA
RNAcentral lists this long non-coding RNA (242 nucleotides) under Mus musculus (house mouse). Its description in RNAcentral is "long non-coding RNA chr6:32610118-32610360". Lineage: Eukaryota; Metazoa; Chordata; Mammalia; Rodentia; Muridae. The record is from RNAcentral.